Small nuclear RNA from Marmota flaviventris (yellow-bellied marmot), 123 nucleotides. Lineage: Eukaryota; Metazoa; Chordata; Mammalia; Rodentia; Sciuridae. The record is from RefSeq and is a predicted model, not a curated record.
GUGUUUUAAAUAAGGAGAGAAGGUUAACACUGCCCUGGACAGGGUUGGAAGUAGCCCUGGGGCUGACAACAUGCACGAGAGAAGGCAUGGCUACCUAAUGGCUGUUUACUUCCAGGCACCUGG